RNAcentral lists this ribosomal RNA (487 nucleotides) under uncultured bacterium. RNAcentral's name for it is "bacterial SSU rRNA". It matches the Rfam family "Bacterial small subunit ribosomal RNA", at positions 240 to 716 of the family's 1533-position model. The record is from RNAcentral.
AUCAGCUAGUUGGUAGGGUAAUGGCCUACCAAGGCUACGACGGGUAGCUGGUCUAAGAGGAUGGCCAGCCACACUGGAACUGAGACACGGUCCAGACUCCUACGGGAGGCAGCAGUGGGGAAUCUUGCGCAAUGGGCGAAAGCCUGACGCAGCGACGCCGCGUGGGUGACGAAGGCCUUCGGGUUGUAAAAGCCCUGUGGGGUAGAACGAACUGGCAUCGGGCUAAUAUCUCGGUGUCUUGACGGUACUGCCUUAGCAAGCAUCGGCUAACUCUGUGCCAGCAGCCGCGGUAAGACAGAGGAUGCGAACGUUGCUCGGAUUUACUGGGCGUAAAGCGCGUGUAGGCGGUCUCGUUAGUCGGGUGUGAAAGCCCCGGGCUCAACCCGGGAAAGUGCACCCGAUACUGCGAGACUGGGGUACUGAAGAGGAGAGCGGAAUUCCCGGUGUAGAGGUGAAAUUCGUAGAUAUCGGGAGGAACACCAGUGGC